This 254-nucleotide ribosomal RNA is filed under the name uncultured bacterium. RNAcentral describes it as "partial 16S ribosomal RNA". It matches the Rfam family "Bacterial small subunit ribosomal RNA", at positions 524 to 776 of the family's 1533-position model. The record is from RNAcentral.
UACGUAGGGUGCGAGCGUUGUCCGGAAUUAUUGGGCGUAAAGAGCUCGUAGGCGGUCUGUCGCGUCGAUCGUGAAAACUUGGGGCUUAACCCUGAGCUUGCGGUCGAUACGGGCAUGACUGGAGUUCGGCAGGGGAGACUGGAAUUCCUGGUGUAGCGGUGAAAUGCGCAGAUAUCAGGAGGAACACCGGUGGCGAAGGCGGUUCUCUGGGCCGAUACUGACGCUGAGGAGCGAAAGCGUGGGGAGCGAACAGG